AGUGAACGCUGGCGGUAGGCCUAACACAUGCAAGUCGAACGGCAGCACAGUAAGAGCUUGCUCUUACGGGUGGCGAGUGGCGGACGGGUGAGGAAUACAUCGGAAUCUACUUUUUCGUGGGGGAUAACGUAGGGAAACUUACGCUAAUACCGCAUACGACCUACGGGUGAAAGCAGGGGAUCUUCGGACCUUGCGCGAUUGAAUGAGCCGAUGUCGGAUUAGCUAGUUGGCGGGGUAAAGGCCCACCAAGGCGACGAUCCGUAGCUGGUCUGAGAGGAUGAUCAGCCACACUGGAACUGAGGCACGGUCCAGGCUCCUACGGGAGGCAGCAGUGGGGAAUAUUGGACAAUGGGCGCAAGCCUGAUCCAGCCAUACCGCGUUGGUGAAGGAAGCCUUCGGGUUGUAAAGCCCUUUUGUUGGGAAAGAAAAGCAGCAGGUUAAUACCCCGCUGUUCUGACGGUACCCAAAGAAUAAGCACCGGCUAACUUCGUG
Molecule: ribosomal RNA, 492 nt
Filed under: uncultured bacterium
Lineage: Bacteria
Description: partial 16S ribosomal RNA
Rfam family: Bacterial small subunit ribosomal RNA
Source: RNAcentral